Long non-coding RNA from Syngnathus typhle (broad-nosed pipefish), 533 nucleotides. RefSeq lists it as uncharacterized. The record is from RefSeq and is a predicted model, not a curated record. The transcript is spliced from 3 exons. Lineage: Eukaryota; Metazoa; Chordata; Actinopteri; Syngnathiformes; Syngnathidae.
UUCUUGUGCUUCCCUUUCAAUGCCAGCCUUGACUGCUAAUCGCACAGACAGCUAAAAAAGUGAAAAUAUGACCUCCUUUGCAUAGCUAAUCUAACUAGGAGGAAGAGGGGAUGCAGGAGGGCUUCAAAUUAUUACAGUGAGCAUGACUUCAAAUAAUAUUAUGUCAUAGCUGUUCUUGUUGGACUCGUUCUAGUCACUGAUUAUAUUCAUUAAUGGAUGCCGAGAGAGGGCAGGAGGCUUCAAGGGGAUUUGCGUAUCCGAGACCGUACAGGAUAAGGAGCUGCUCUGAUUUGAUGGCAGGAUUAUGGAGUAGAAAAUGAAAGAACAUUCUUCGCCUGCUUCUGGUUCUGAGAGACUAAUUAGACAACAGUGAUGGGGAAGAUGCCCCCUGUGUGGCACCCUUUAGUGAGCCAUCACAAAUUAGGCCUGUCAAGCAGAGUUGUGGUGACGCCAGAGGAAGAGGAGCAAGAUAACCCGAUAGCAGCUACAAGCAUGGCUCAACAUUAAAGAGAGGGAGGAUUCAGUCUUACCCG